GGAGUCUGGGCCGUAUCUCAGUCCCAAUGUGCCCGAUCACCCUCUUAGGCCGGGUAACUAUCGUCGCCUUGGUGGGCCGUUACCCCACCAACUAGCUAAUCCCACCUGGGCGCAUCUGAAUGCGACCGGUUGCCCGGCCUUUCCCCCUCAGGGCUUACGCGGUAUUAGCACCCGUUUCCAGGUGUUGUCCCCCUCAUUCAGGCAGCUCCCCAGGUAUUACUCACCCGUCCGCCACUCGUCAGCCAGGAAGCAAGCUUCCUGCCGUUACCGUUCGACUUGCAUGUAUUAAGCCUGCCGCCAGCGUUCAAU
RNAcentral lists this ribosomal RNA (309 nucleotides) under uncultured Ruminobacter sp. RNAcentral describes it as "partial 16S ribosomal RNA". The record is from RNAcentral. Lineage: Bacteria; Pseudomonadati; Pseudomonadota; Gammaproteobacteria; Aeromonadales; Succinivibrionaceae.